Long non-coding RNA from Hemicordylus capensis (graceful crag lizard), 5242 nucleotides. RefSeq lists it as uncharacterized. Lineage: Eukaryota; Metazoa; Chordata; Lepidosauria; Squamata; Cordylidae. The record is from RefSeq and is a predicted model, not a curated record. The transcript is spliced from 2 exons.
CCGAGCAGGGGCGGGGAAAAUGGUCUGCGCAGCGAUGAAAGUAGGAUCCUACAAUAUUUGAGACCUUACUGCCAAUAAAGGCCACUAGGUUCUCGGGGGUAUUGUGCAGACUCUGUAGAACAGAAGAUCGACGAUACUAGAGUGUUAACGUGGGGAAAACGGGGAAUAGAUCAGAACAAGUGGGAAAUCCUCUAGGAAUUCCUACUCACCUUUAGAGUAAAGCGCUUCUGUACAGAAUCAUGGCCAUAUUAUGAACUCGAGUCAGAGGCCUUCAGGCCCCGAAAAUAACACCCUUUUGCAACUGCUUUUAUUUUAUACACAUAGCGGGAAAUGUUAAGAACAGCAAUAUGUGCAGGCCCACCAAUGAAACCUCCUCCAUAUGUAUUACCAUCAUGCCCCAAGCAGCUUCUCCUUUCCAGCAUGCUAUGGAGAACAAGGAAACUCUCUUAGUCUGUGAAGAGAGGGAGGGGUCUGAGGAAAGUAUUAAAGAGGAAAGGAUGAUUGCCUUUUGCUAAAACCAUGCUGUCUGUGUUCUGUUUCCAAGCUCAAACAGCUGCUUCAGCUGAGAAAAAGGGGGGAGGCGCAUCGGCCUCCUCCACCCCUUGUGUUGCAAACAGUCUAAUUUCCUGCUGCCGCUCUGUCCCAAGCCCAAAGAGAACACUGUUCUUGCUGCAAAAAGUUUCUCCGAACAAACGGCUGCUUUUCUUUUCUUCUUCUUCUUCUUUCUUCCUUCAACUGCUUGCAGUUGGAAAAGAGGAAAGAAAAUGGAGUUUGAAGGAAUGCGUGUGAUGUAGUUCUGUGCAGGGAAUUGUAGAGAAAAGACUGGAAGGAGAUGUGGACAGAAGGGAAGGAAUGUCUUAAGGAUUUUAGUUGGAAGUUGUUAAAAAGUUGAAAAGCACCUGUAAGUUGAAAAAUGUAAGCUGUGAUGUGGAAAGGUAAUAUGGAAUCACAGAUUGUUUUGUGGAUGACUGUAAUAACAGUUUGUUUUGUUUGAGCUACUUUCUUAACUGAGUUUUAUGGGUAAAUGAUUGUUUGCCCUAAACAUAUUUAAAAUGUUAUAAAAUCCUAUGUGACCCAUGUGAAAUUCCCUGUUUAGUCCCUUGCUCUGUGAAAUACACAAGACAAGCCUGUGUGUGUGUGCGCGCGUGCGCGCACACGUGUGUGUGCAUGUUUCUGAGCGGGAGCCUAAUGCUCUGGUUCUGUGCAGGAAUCCUCAUUUUGUUAAACUGCAAUGAUCUGGGGAAAAGCCAAAACCCCCAUCAAUCUUAUAACUCAUCCCUGAGAAGAUGAGGUUUCUGUUGUAUUUGUGAAUGUAUUCUAGUGACAUGUCUUUUCCUGUAAACUGUUCCAGAACAAACUUGCUCUGACAUUGGAUUCCAAAAUUUGCAGUUAUUAUAUUAAUUGAACAUAAAAUUGGUCGUGGCCUGAGCAACAGGGGGAACUUUCAGCAGUCCCAGCUGGCCACCUGGGGUGCUGACGUUUUCCUUCUUUGUGAGUCUCCCCCCACCCCACAAAAGGGAGGUGCUGCUUAUGGCUGGCUAAAUGCAUUAGGCAUAAGUUGAUUGUGUUAUUUCUGCCACUACUGAAUGUCAUAGGACUUUAUAUGUUAUGCUUACUGAUUUCCUUGACAUGGUCUCUCUUACCUAUUUUCUGUUAGCUCAAAACUUUGCUCUUUUCUCUAACCGGACGUUUUCCCUUUUACUUUUUUCUCACAACUGUUAACUGACCUCUGGUGAACAAUGAUAACUCCGCCCAUUUCCGGAUGGGAGGAGGAAGGAGGUUCUCUGUAAAGCAGUUUGUGUUCCAGCCAGUUAAUUGUGGGUGAGAAUUAAAAAUAGGAUUUGAAGAUAAAUUAGUCUAUUUGUUUUUUGUUUUUGCAAAAUCUAUGCAAUAUUUCUGCUAACUUUUUGAUGUAAACUGAGAGCUAAUAAUCAAAUGGUCUAAGGCUUAAAUUUUAAAUUUGUCUCAUCUGCUAGCCCUGCUUUGCCUUCACAGUAGCUGAAUCCCAGUAGCUGAAUGAUGAGAUCCCAGAUUUGAGAUUUGAUGAAAAGAAUUUUGUUUUGCCACUCCUGCAAGUGGAAGGGAGUUCCAAAGUACCGGUUUGCAUUUCACCUGGAAGACUUCCCAGUUUAAAAGGAUCAAGCUUUGUAUGUUACUGUGAAACCCAUACCCUGUUUUCACAGCUCCUGAUGAGAGACUUGACUUGAUUAUCACAGGUUUCACCCCUCUGCAAGAUUAUGGACCAUUUUUCUGAUAACACCUUUUGCUAAAGAGGCCUGUAAAAAGGGACACUUUGAUUUGCUUCAUGAGACAUUAGGCCUUGCCCAGAAGUCUCAAUCCUAUUUCAACAAGGUAUAGUAUUUUUGCCUGGGGGCAGGGACUUUUUCUUUCUUAUAUAGGCUUCUCAUGAGGAUAUUGUUACCCUACAAGGAUGUCAAACCCUUACUCAUUGGUCACUUGCUAGUUAUGAGGCUAAAGAUGGAGAGCUGGAACACCACAACUAUCUACACAUGACCUAGAUGAAGAUCCCAAAGCCAGAUGUUACUGACGAAUCACCCCUUUAUGGAGAAUAAAGUCAGGGUUGUUGUAAGGAGGAAGAACAGGAUACAGAAGAGACUGUGAGAUGCCACAUGGAAACAGAACUUUGUCAGCAGUUACACCCAAAGGGCCUUGGUGAAAUUCAAGCGCUGGAGUUCUAUGUUGCAGCCUCUCGAGUGAUAAGACUAUGUUUGACCUGUCAGGCAGCCCUGUCAGGCUUUAAUGCUUCCUCAAAACCCCAAAAUCAUGAGGGGGGUGAAAAUGUGGAUGCCCUUUUUCCUUUUGACUUUGUUGCUUUGCCUUUUGCCCAGGAUUGCCGUUUUGUCCUCGUGAUCAGAGACCAGCCUACAACACAAGCCACCAAGCCCUAAAUGCAGACAUUAUCCCCUGUUCUGGACUUCGGCGGGGAGAGGGGCCCAGGGCAAGAAGCGAAACAAAAACAUAAAUUGGAAAAAAUGCCAAAAGACCAAAUUGAAAAUAGCCUCAGGUCUUAUCCAUCCAUUGUAUUAUUUGCCUUGAAAACUUGACUUUUCCUUUUGUGCUGAUGGUUGGCACCCAGGGACUUAGUCUCAGGACGCUGUCCCUACAUGGGGGGAGGGAAUUGGUAACUCACUUGCCUGUCUUUCUCUCAAGUAAACAGGUUUGCAACCAACAGUGCCUUGAAUUGUCUUUCCGAGAAGGAUUGGUCCUCCCCAGAUUGAAGGAGUAUCUGGAUCCAACCCUGACCCAGGAGCACUAACCAGCAGCAGCAGCAGCUACCCGAGGGGAGUCCCUAUCUGCGUUUCCAGUCCAACCCAAUGGUGACAGAAUGUCCAUCUGCUGCCCUGUCCUGUGUUCAAGGAAGAGGGCCUAAUGCAAAGUCCAUCUUCCUGCUCCUGAGUGCUGUAGCAGAGGAAUAGACAACGAAUGCCUGAAGAGUGCCUGACAGCAAACAGGCAAGCCAAUUUGUUUACUUUUCUCUGGAGUCAUAUGUGCAACAGCAUCUCCCCAAGCCUUUAGUCACUCCUGUAAAGCCCUGGAACCAUCCUACCCGGGUAAGAUACCCUGCCAAAGACACUAUUUCAAAUUCUGCCAAAGACAUUAUAUCAAAUUGUCCACCGGGGGGCGGGGGGCAGUCAAGGCUCCCAAACACAUGAACGUUCAAGCUUGUCUAUGGACACUAGUCAAACAGGCCAAAACAACACUGAUCAGAGAACAUUUAGGAUAGCCAGAAUCCUGCAAUGUUGGACAAGAGCAUUUGGAAGGCAGAACCAAUUGAAGGACUAAAAUGACUUUUUAAAAAACCAAAAACCAAGGACUCUUAGUUUUUGGAAUUCUAGGGCUCUCCAUGGCCUCCUUUUGGCCAUGGCAGACUCUAGAGGACACUAAGGGGGGGUGGGAGUUGAUGACUUACAUCACUUUCUUGUAGUGACUAUGAGCUAUAAUUAUGUUGGAAACCCUGCUAUCCCCUGUGCUGUAAGGACAUGAACCUCACAUGCUUGCUUUCUGGUCAUUUCCUUAUUUGCUUCCCUGACACCUUGUGCCAAUCAUCUCAUAGUUUCACCCAGAGCAUCUACCUGCAAGUCUGCACCUUUCCCUAACUUACUGGUUCCUUUUUGCACUCUAAAGACAUUAAGCUAGCCCAAGCUUUACCUGCCAGUUUUCUAAGACACCUGUAUCCUUUAACUAAUGUGACUGUACAUGACUUCUCAUUACCAUUGCUUUCCAUGAGCUGAUAAUCCAUUAAUCACCAGAAGCACCUGGUUCCACAAUGCAAGGCUGUUAUUGAUACUUUAUUUGGGAUGGAGUUGGGUUAAGACAAUGUUGCUUGCUAUAAGUUGUAUGAUCUUUAUAUGUACACCUUGCUGCUAUGUAUAAAACCUUUUAUCUAUAUCAAAUCAGGCCGGAUAUGGGUGAUUAAGGAUAUGUGUCUUAAUUUAUGGAAUUAUACUAAUUAUGCUUGUAGCUCUAGGAUCUUGUAUGCAAUGUUUCUAGUUUUAUUACCAUGUGUACAGCCCAUUUAGCACCUACCAUUUCUGUAAAAUCUAUGCUUAGGCAUCCCAAAAUCACAUGUCACAAAUCCUUUAGCCACAUGAAACACAGAACUAUAUUUCCAAGGCAAAGAAGAUAAUUCUAGUUAUAGCAUGUAUUUUCUUUUUAUUGAUAGUCACAUGUUGCUGCUUACAAUGCAUUCCAGCUUUAAUCCAAAUGUUUAUGAGAACCUUUAAACCUCGCCAUAAUGUAAGACCUAAUUAUACAGCUGUACCUUUACAAGCCUUAAGACAUCCUGAAGAUUCAGGAUAGUCCAAUUUCAGGGGGGAAUUGAUCUGUUUAAAAAACCAAAGAAACUCCAUUUUGCCCAGAAGACCUUAUUCUAACUUAAGUAACCUGGCCCCCAAAAUCAGGGACAUCACUGCCUCUCAUGAUUAACAUCAUUAUCUCUCUCCAGCAAAAUUGUACACAGCUAAGCUUCACAUUGCUAGAAAACAGGAUCUAACCGAAUAAGGAAUAAUCACCAGAUGAACAAUGAAUCAUUCACAUGCGUACUACUUAGACCACCAUUUUAUUGCCACAUAUACUGUGUCAAGCGUGUUAGCACCAUCUUGAUUGUUUGUAUAAAUGUAAGGUGCACCUGUAACCAAACCUUAAUUGGUUUGAGAGCAUGAGCCUACUGAUUACCUAUUGCUGACUGCAGAGCAAUAAAGCCUCAAUUAAUAAUUCCCAA